GAUGAACGCUAGCGGUAGGCUUAAUACAUGCAAGUCGUACGGGAUUUAAAACUUCGGUUUUAAUGAGAGUGGCGCACGGGUGCGUAACACGUAUGUAACCUACCUUGUAGAGAGGGAUAGCCCGAAGAAAUUUGGAUUAAUACCCCGUGGUCUUGUAGAACGGCAUCGUUUUACAAGUAAAUGGAGCAAUUUGCUACAAGAUGGACAUGCGCAUGAUUAGAUUGUUGGUGAGGUAACGGCUCACCAAGUCCAUUAUCAUUAGGGGUUCUGAGAGGAAGGUCUCCCACACUGGCACUGAGAUACGGGCCAG
Molecule: ribosomal RNA, 310 nt
Filed under: uncultured bacterium
Lineage: Bacteria
Description: bacterial SSU rRNA
Rfam family: Bacterial small subunit ribosomal RNA
Source: RNAcentral